Apis mellifera (honey bee) is the source of this 46-nucleotide non-coding RNA. NCBI's taxonomy places the organism in Eukaryota, Metazoa, Arthropoda, Insecta, Hymenoptera, Apidae. The record is from Rfam.
CAACCUGCCCUUUUUAGGGCGACAAAGAUUUAAUACAUAGGAAUCU